AUUCCUGACACAAAAUGGAGACAGCAAGAGAGAUUACCACAAAAUGGGGGUCUGAAUAUACAAAUUUUUCAGGACCAGGACAUCUAAAGGAUUUUCUUCUCCCACAUGAGUCUGUCUGAAUUCUGCAAUCAACUGAAAAGACCCUUCUGUACUUAGUGCUGCCAUCUGAAGUUGAUUUUUUUCAGAAUUUCAGAAUCUGAAGUUCAGAAUUUGAAGAACAACAGUCUCCAACUGACACCAUCUGGAAUCUGCCUGUGAGGGAAAAAAAAUGAAAAGCUUUCCACCUCCCCUGGUCUGACCCUUGUCUUCUCAAGAGCUGCUUCCAAACUGAGCCACAUCAGGAAUUCGGCCCCUCUAACAAACUGUGCGACUUACCUGCAGCUAAUCCCCAUCCACUGUCUCUUUAGAAUAUCAUCAAUACACGAUAAUUCGCUGCAGAUCAGCACACAUAUACCAUGCAGAACUACAUAUGUCUCAACUGGCUUGUACAAAUAAAACUAAGACUGAAAUACUUCAGCUACCAAUAUGUUAUAAGAGGAGACGAGUGUGCUUCCUUGUCACUAUGCAUAUGACUCAAAUAAAUGUGCAGGGAAUUGAAUCUCCUCCAGUGAAUGUGCAUUUUUCAGCUUAUUGUGCCAAACAAAAGCCAAUGGCUAUAUGCACCAAGUAACCCCAUUAAAGGAUAUGGAG
Hemicordylus capensis (graceful crag lizard) is the source of this 690-nucleotide long non-coding RNA. RefSeq lists it as uncharacterized. The transcript is spliced from 4 exons. The record is from RefSeq and is a predicted model, not a curated record. NCBI's taxonomy places the organism in Eukaryota, Metazoa, Chordata, Lepidosauria, Squamata, Cordylidae.